RNAcentral lists this unclassified non-coding RNA (1467 nucleotides) under Leishmania donovani. Its description in RNAcentral is "gene:LdHU3.34.0280(CDS-product:Nucleolar_protein_ 12_(25kDa)_putative)". The record is from RNAcentral. Lineage: Eukaryota; Euglenozoa; Kinetoplastea; Trypanosomatida; Trypanosomatidae.
AAAUUACGUAUAUCAUUCCUUCCCUCUCUCUUGUGCAUGAACGCACACUUCAUUGCUGUUUUUGGAUAUCCUCCCCUCCUCGUUGCGGCAGCGGCGGAGAAGCGGCCAUGGUGAAAUACGUCGACACCGGCGCCGACACCGCCGCCGGCGGCAACAAAAAGAUGCGCAAAGGCUUCAAGUCAGACCGCCUAGAGAACUACAAGCGCAUGCUGGCCAAGAAGAACGGCAAGACAGUCAGAGAUGCCCCGACGUGCACGGCGCGACCCAAGGCACUCACGUUCGACGAUUCCUCGCGCAGGGACUAUCUGCUUACGCUGCACAAAAAGAAGAACGAACGACGUGUGCAGGCUUUCGUGGAUGCGAAGCGCAAGCAGCGCAAGGACAGUGCCAAGACCCGGCGAGAGCAGCGCGAGGAGGCGCGACGGGCGUACAACAACUACGCUCGUGUGCCAAUUUUACCUGACUAUACGUACCGCCUGCCAAGGCAACAGGACGACAUGUUUGCCGACGACGAGGAGAACGAGGAGAGAGAGGGAGAGGACGGCUACAGUAGCCAGAGCGCGGAGGACGGGGAGGAAGACGCCGACAUGCCGUGGAUAAGUAUCGACGAUCCGGAGGCAUCGCAGAGGCGCCGGCGCGAAAAGCGGCUGGCAACUCUUCCGCACAGCGCGCACGCGAUGCCCGGCGCUAUGCUGGGCCAAGAGGCAGGCACCGCUGCGGACACGCACCUCCCUGUCGGCCCGUCCUCCUCCAGCAAGUUGGACAGCGAGUACGUGACGGUCGACGUGAAGCCGCUCUUUAGCACAUCCAGCGGUGACGCAGCGAGCACCCGCAAAGGCGGUGACGCAGCGAGCACCCGCAAAGGCGGUGCCGCGUCCACGAAGACGCUGCCUUGCAACAACUUCGAUGACCUCCCUCUUGUCGUCCGGCAGGAACUUCACCGCUUGCGGCAAGAGACGAAGGGCCCCGCAAAGACGAAACCGCGGAUGCGCAUGAUGAAGGAGCUGGAGAAGAUUCGCAAGAUCCGCAAGCACUCACGCAAGGGCCACGGCAAGCGCAAAGCCUCUGGCAAGCGUAAGAAUCGCAAAAAGUAGGCAAUGAAUUCGUGGCCAGUGGGCGAUGUGUGCGCCAUUCCGAGGGUCCCUGGCAUCUCCCUUUCCUACGAGGCACCUGCCUCUUGUGGGGUGACUCUCCUGCCAUCCGUUCUUCUGCGGUCUGCCGCUGCUACUGCGUGGUCGCGAUGCCUCGACUUCGCAUGUGACGUUGUGUAAUGGCUGUAAUUCACAAAUAAUUUGCGCACCACAGACGGUGGCAUCGGAAAGCGCAACAUCAGUGCCGCCGCCGUGUUUUCUCCCCCGCACGGCCCCGUUCCUCUGUCUCCGACUCCCUCCCUCUCUCUUGAAUCGGCUGUGGUGCAACGGCGACGUACAGCGAAAAGGGUAUCGUGGCUCUUGAGCCGCAGCAACC